This 253-nucleotide ribosomal RNA is filed under the name uncultured prokaryote. RNAcentral's name for it is "partial 16S ribosomal RNA". It matches the Rfam family "Bacterial small subunit ribosomal RNA", at positions 525 to 777 of the family's 1533-position model. The record is from RNAcentral.
ACAGAGGGUGCGAGCGUUGUCCGGAAUCACUGGGCGUAUAGGGCGCGUAGGCGGCUUCUCACGCGUGCGGUGAAAGCUCGGGGCUUAACUCCGAGUCUGCCGUGCGAACGGGGAGGCUUGAGUCUGGUAGAGGUCGAUGGAAUUCCGGGUGUAGCGGUGGAAUGCGUAGAGAUCCGGAAGAACACCGGUGGCGAAGGCGGCCAGCUAGACCAGUUCUGACACUGAGGCGCGACAGCGUGGGGAGCAAACAGGA